Molecule: long non-coding RNA, 928 nt
Filed under: Homo sapiens (human)
Lineage: Eukaryota; Metazoa; Chordata; Mammalia; Primates; Hominidae
Description: HSALNT0335160
Source: RNAcentral
AACUGGAUGUGUGCAGCCCAGCCCUUUCAUUUCUUAUUUUUUACUCUGCCUGUCAUACAAUGAUACAUUGUGAUCUCAAAGCUCAAACUCUUCUGCAGUAUCUCUCAAUCCAUGUAAGGAAUUCUGGAGAGGAAGGUGGCAGCAUUACUAAUCAGAUGUUUGACUGGGAAAUGUAAAGAGAUAGUCAUUACAUGGACAUCUGGAGAAAAAAACAGCACAUGGAAGUAUCAAGUGUUCUGGGGCCGCCCAGGCAGAGGGAAACAAGAGCUAGACUACCUGCUCGUGAUCCCAGGAGGCUAAUGGAACAGUGAUGUAUCGCGGUUCCUGCCUCGUGAAUUUGGAAGCAGGAUUCUGCUCCUAGGAAAAGAUGAGAAUAGAGCUCCAGUCUAUUCUUGCUGCAGUAAUUUGAAAAUUAUGGGACCAUCAAUCUGUUGUGAAUGCUGUCUACAGCAGAUCUUAUCUCUCAGAAUUAUCAAACUGAGCUGAUCCAAAGGCUUGACAUAAAUUACAUGUUAAACGUAUAGUAAGUUGUUUCAGACUUUUAAUUUCUGUUCUCUUUUUUCAUUCAUGACACUAAUUUCACAACUGUAAAUUUUUUAAUAUAAAGUCUGAAGGGUCAAUGUGAAAAACUGGUAUCGCAAUCUGGCUCAAACUUCUGCUACAAUGUGAGAGUAUUUUUAAAAUGUGGUAUUAUGAGUAAUCGAUAAUAAUAGUCAUAGCCCUAGUAGAAUUCAUUUCAUCUCAAAGAAUUGCCCUAAGCAUUUCAUUAGAAUUUUGCCUCUAUCACUGUAUUUUAGCCACUCACAUUAGAUCAUUUUCAUUAUGAAAGAGUUUAUAAAAUUCAAAAAAGUGUCUUUAUAACCAUAUCAGAUAAGAUCAAUUUAAUUUUAGGUUACCAAUUUUGUAAGAAUCCUGACAGCUCAAUGUU